UUUUUUUCUAAAAACAUCUUAGACACAACUGGGUAAUCCCUAAAUCCUGGAAUGUUAGGGGGUACUUGAGGACUGGGUUGGGAACCACUGCUGUAGAUCAUGUAAGUAGGAUACCUACUUUUUACUACCCCUGAUCAUUGGCUUUUAUACUGUGAUAUUGGAUAUGUCACCUUUUGUUUCCACGUUUUGCAUUGCUUUGAAAACACCAUUGGAAUUUAUAUCCUGAG
Molecule: non-coding RNA, 227 nt
Organism: Pelobates cultripes (western spadefoot toad)
Lineage: Eukaryota; Metazoa; Chordata; Amphibia; Anura; Pelobatidae
Source: the annotation of a GenBank genome assembly